GUCGAACGAUGAAACUUAAAUGAUUUCUUCGGAAUGAACUUAAGUGGAUUAGUGGCGGACGGGUGAGUAACGCGUGAGUAACCUGCCUUACACAAGGGGAUAGCCGUUGGAAACGACGAAUAAUACCCUAUGAAACUAUCACUUCGCAUGAAGCGAUAGUCAAAGUGUUAGCGGUGUAAGAUGGACUUGCGUCUGAUUAGCUAGUUGGUGAGAAAAAAGCCCACCAAGGCAACGAUCAGUAGCCGGCUUGAGAGAGUGUACGGCCACAUUGGGACUGAGACACGGCCCAGACUCCUACGGGAGGCAGCAGUGGGGAAUUUUGCACAAUGGGGGAAACCCUGAUGCAGCGACGCCGCGUGAUUUAGAAGGCCUUCGGGUUGUAAAAAUCUUUUGUAUAGGAAGAAAAUAACAGUACUAUACGAAUAAGGUCCGGCUAAUUACGUGCCAGCAGCCGCGGUAAUACGUAAGGACCGAGCGUUGUCCGGAAUCAUUGGGCGUAAAGGGUACGUAGGCGGGUCAUUAAGUUAGAAGUCAAAGGCUAUAGCUCAACUAUAGUAAGCUUCUAAAACUGGAGACCUUGAGUAAUGGAAGGGAAAGUGGAAUUCCUAGUGUAGCGGUGGAAUGCGCAGAUAUUAGGAGGAAUACCGGUGGCGAAGGCGACUUUCUGGCCAUUAACUGACGCUGAGGUAC
RNAcentral lists this ribosomal RNA (690 nucleotides) under uncultured Eubacteriales bacterium. RNAcentral describes it as "bacterial SSU rRNA". It matches the Rfam family "Bacterial small subunit ribosomal RNA", at positions 61 to 754 of the family's 1533-position model. Lineage: Bacteria; Bacillati; Bacillota; Clostridia; Eubacteriales. The record is from RNAcentral.